ACCGAAUAGAUACCCAGGUAGUCCUGGCCAUAAACGAUGUCCACUAGAUCGUGGCCGCUCUGACGCGGUCAUGGUCGAAGCAAAAGUGCUAAGUGGACCGCCUGGGAAGUACGGUCGCAAGGCUAAAACUCAAAGGAAUUGACGGGGGCUCACACAAGCGGUGGAGCAUGUGGUUCAAUUCGAAGCAACGCGCAGAACCUUACUUGGGCUUGACAUGCCAGGAUUAUCCCUAUGAAAAGUAGGGUAGGCCCUUCGGGGUACAACUGGUACAGGUGCUGCAUGGCUGUCGUCAGCUCGUGUCGUGAGAUGUCGGGUUAAGUCCCUUAACGAGCGAAACCUUUGCCCUUAGUUACCAUCGGGUUAUGCCGGGGACUCUAAGGGGACUGCCGGUGUCAAACCGGAGGAGGGUGGAGAUGACGUCAAGUCCUCAUGGCCUUUAUGCCCAGGGCCACACACGUGCUACAAUGGCGUCGACAGAGCGAACCUAGAGCGCAAGCUGGAGGAAAUCGCAUAAAUGACG
Molecule: ribosomal RNA, 520 nt
Filed under: uncultured bacterium
Lineage: Bacteria
Description: bacterial SSU rRNA
Rfam family: Bacterial small subunit ribosomal RNA
Source: RNAcentral